This 1448-nucleotide long non-coding RNA is filed under the name Takifugu rubripes (torafugu). RNAcentral's name for it is "lncRNA (ENSTRUG00000030775.1)". Lineage: Eukaryota; Metazoa; Chordata; Actinopteri; Tetraodontiformes; Tetraodontidae. The record is from RNAcentral.
ACCGGCAGUUUAUGAUAAUUGAUUUCUAUGUUCUCUGCCUCCUCUCCUCUCCUCUCUCUCUCUACCCCCCCCCAUCAGCAGGAGGGUCCCCCUACAUGACCCUGGUCCUGCUCAAGGUUACUUCCUGUUAAAGGGGAGUUUUUCCUGCCACUGUUGCUUGUUGAGGGUCAGGCCCUGGGAUUCUGGAAAGCGCCUAGAAACAAUUCUGAUUGUAAGAGACGCGAUUGAUCGAUUGAUUGAUCGAUACUUCAGCUAAGGGACAGAACCCUCCAACUUAAUGCCAACUUUAUCUUAAGUUGGCAUUUUUUUCUUUGAUCUUAAGUUGUCAUUGCUGUCUUUGAUCUUAAGUUGGCCUUUUAGUCUUUGAUGUCCUUUGUAUCAAACACAUCAACUCUAUCUCUUUCAGCACAGCCUGAGGAGCUCAACACUCUUGUAGCACACUGGUGACCAGCAGACGUAUCGAUGGCACAGAGAGGAACCCAGCAGCUGAAGGCAGAGCAAGAACAACUGGAAUCAUCAAUGGAAACUUGGAGGGAAGAGGUCCAGCAGCUCAAAGAAGCCCUGGCGGAGAAGGAGGAGCAGCUCAGCAGGGUAGUGAAGAGGCGAAGGAUGAGGACUGUGGCCCAUGUAGAGACCCUGACCCAGCUGAACAGCACACAAGCUGCUCUGAAGGAGAGCAGCCUCAAAUGUGCUUCCCUGGAGGAAACCCUCCAGACCCAGCAGCAGGAGAUAGAGGAGAGAUGCAGCAGAGAGCUGACGGAGCAGGAGGAAGGUCUGAGGCACAAGCUCCUUGGGAUCGAGGAGGAAUUUAAGGGGAAGCUGGAGAAAGAGAAACAAAGUUUUGAUGAAAAGAAAGAGGCCUUGAGGCAGCAGCUCUUUUUACAAGAAGAAAAGUUUAAGAAGCUACUUGAUGAAGAGCAACUCAAAUAUGCUGAGAAGGUCAUGGAACUAGAAGAGUCAACGAAGCAGCAGCUGUUGACUAAAGAUGAGACCUUUAACAAGAUGCUGGCUGAUGUUUGUCAGCGGUGGGACAGCACAGCUCAGAAAUGGGCACAGAUGAACGAAGAGCUGCAGCACAAGUUCCUGGAGAGCCAACGUUUGAGGCAGCACGAGGAGGAGAAGAACAAAGAGGAGAUCCAGAGGCUCUCUGAAGCAAUCCUCCGACUUGAGCUUCAAGUAUCAAAGAAGAAGAAGAAGAAGAAGAAGAAGAAGAAAUGCUUCUGGAGAUGGAAGUUCUGGAAAAAGAUGAAGUAAACAAUUCCAGAGCUCCCAAAGCCCUCCUCCUCCUCCUCCUCCUCCUCCUCCUCCUCCUCCUCCUCCUCCUCUACAUCCUGACCUCCACAGCGUCACAUCCUGUCUUCAUCAGUUUUAUUUUACAGUAUCAUCAUUGUUUAUGUUCUAUGUUUGGAUCUAUGAUGUAGAAACAAUAAAACUCAAAGUCAACCACC